This 6308-nucleotide long non-coding RNA is filed under the name Theobroma cacao (cacao). RNAcentral's name for it is "long non-coding RNA (TCAC_LNC004715)". Lineage: Eukaryota; Viridiplantae; Streptophyta; Magnoliopsida; Malvales; Malvaceae. The record is from RNAcentral.
UCUGUUUCGUGAGGGCGGAUUCAGAUAAGCCAGAAAAAGUGAUCUAAUUGGAAACUCCGAUAACAUUCACUGAUCAAUCAAACUGCCACAUAAAAGGAAGGAAAUGUUUAUUCCUUUGAUUCCAAAUGACUCGUUACAAUCAUAGAGACUCAAAUGUGUAUGUUACGAUUAUUCUUUGUCCAGGAUAAACGCAACAGCUCAGCAAAAAAUCGAAAAAGUCUCCAAAGUAUAGUGGGAUAAUACAAGUCAAUGCUUAUCUAAUUUCAUGAUCGAACGGCCACACUGCAAAAAGCAUUGGACCUAGAGGAAGACUACGUGUUGUCAGCUUAUCAUCAAUGCAGAUUUAGGAUUCCUUUAUCUUUCGGAAACCUCAAAGGAUGACACCUUUUUUGAUGUUGAGUUUCAUUUCUCAAGACCCAAAAGGGCGAACAAAAAGAUGGAUGAGAUAAAAAUUACUACUAAUUUCAUCUAGCAUUUGGUGUAUGUAUGAUGCCAAUGAUAGCUUUUCUGUUGUGUUGUGUAAGGGUAUUUUCAGAAAUAAUAAUAAUAGAAAAAAAACAACUACCGUUAUUUAUCUCAUCUCUAUUCUAUUAUUUGAGAUCUACCAAAUAAAUAAAAUAAAGGGAUAUGAAUAAUUCAACGUAAUCAUUUUUCUUUUAUUAUAGUAAAUAUCCUUUUAAUUAAUCUAACGCUAACGCACCUGGUACAGGACAGAAUAACCAAAGUUUUAUUUAUUUGCUUCAUAAAAAAUACCAACAUUCUAGAACGACUUACCAAUUAUAUCCAUGAAAGGGAAACAAGUUCUAUUAUUUACAAUUCCCUUGAAAUAGCUCAAAUGUUGGACUUUAAUCUAAUUUUCACAGCCCAAGGAUAAUGCCAGAGCUUGUUUGCUUGUUUAAUUGAAUUGGACCAAACUUCAAGCACGCUUUUGAAAGCUGCUUUAACACAAAGCCCUUAAUUGGGCCUAAGUCACGGGCUCCAGUGAAAGGGAAAAACGUCUCCCAUCAAAUAUGAUGACCAAGGCAUUAGAGUUUAGGAAUACUUUUUCUACCAGAAAAGUGCUUUAGGCGCCGCAUGCUUGAAUAUAAAAAGGGAGUUGUUAGGGUAUUUUUUUUUGUUUUCUUCACCACUAACGCCCUUUGUUGCAACAUCCUUAACCCGAUUUCUUGAUAGUGGUGAGUGAUGAGUCUCAAGGACGAGUUGCCUCCUUCAAACCUCGCCGAGGUAUAUGCUUUCAUUGUACUAGUUUUUUUUAGUUUCAUCUUUCUUUAUACGAUCUUUCUAUUUAGCUUUGUCCAGAUAUAUAUUUUUUAAGCUUUAUCUCUCUUUAUACUUCAAUUUUGUAUUUUAGAUUUAGAUUCUUGUUUUAAAUUUGAUAUAAAUAUAUAUACUAAUUAUCCAAUCCUAAUCGUUUGUAUAUUUUUUAUUUUUAUGAUUGUUGUAAGUCAAUGAUAAUAUGAUUACAAUUUUUGUUAGUAACAAAUAUUUUCUUUUUUGAAAUUUUUAGGGUACCAUUAAAGAGUUGGUUUAUUCACGAUUUGGUAGAAUUAAUUGAUAAACUCUUCAAUUUUAUAAAAUUUGUAACUUUUAUUUUAUUUCUAACUUUUUAAUAGAAUUCAACAUUUGUUAUUUUUUUACAGGAUAAGCUGAGCGGAUGUUCUUCCAAUCCUCCAUCCUUAAUUAAACAAAAUAUUUUGAAUUUUAAAAAAGAUGUAGAAGCAAUAACUUGGAAUUGAAUGGUUUUUAUUACUCAUACUUUGGCUGCAUUCAGUCUUAUUUGCAACAACUUGGAAGGGUAUAGUCGAUGCUCGAUUAAUCAUCUGUCACGUUAUUUCUAUUGUCAGUCUUUGGGGAACUAGUUUUUUGGGAUUAAAUGAUUUAAGUGGAUGGUGGUUACUUGUCUUUCUCGAGAAGGAAUCUUUGAAUGGAGAUGAAGAGGACAUAGAAAUUGCAGCUCCAAUCUGGUUUCCUAUCAUUCCCGGUGCAGCAUGUUGUUUAUUUUUGCUUUUAGCUAGAAUAAUCUGUUGGCCCAUUAAUAACUAUGUGGUGAAGCCUAAAUCUGAAGAUUUACCUACGCUCGUAGGUCUCUACUGGCUUGGUUUUAGCCUUUUGAUCCUCUUGGCUUUUGUUUUUGCCUUUGUCACGAUAAUCAGUUGUGCAACUGCAGCAGCUACUCCGACUUCAGAUCUCGAGAUGAGUGUUGAUCAACCUGCUUCUUGUACCGGUACAAACCAUGGAAGAGAAAGGAAAAUGAAAAGAUUCAAUAUUCUUAAAAUUAAUUAUGGGCUACUUGUACGAGUUUUGUUAUUGUUUUGUCUCUUGCCAUUUAGAAAUCGAUCUUAAAGAGUUAUUUACUUCAGUUUUUAUGUGGAUCAUAACUUUAUAUUAUUGUCUUUAUUAGUUUGUUAUUUAUAGGCAGUAAUGAGUCAAACUUGCUUAGAAUAAUUUUGUGAAAUACUUUUGUGUUAAUUAAUAGUUACUAAUUUUUUGCUCUUGUUUGGUAAAAAAGCUUGUAAAAUUGUCUUUAAUAUUCAGUACAAAUCUAUAAAGAAUAGAUUAAAAAUAAUAUUCAGAAUAUCUUCUAAACCUUUUUUUAAACAGAGUCUCUAACUUUAACACUUCGAAUUUUCAAUUAGUUCUAUCAAUUUUAUUUUAUUUUUUGAAAGAGUUUUAUCAAUUUUAUUAUAUAAUGUGACGAUGCUCGUGAAAUUCUUGUCCUCGCCCAUUAACAAUAUAAAAGUUGGAGUUGCCCACUAACAACUCUAUGGUCUAGUGUGCCCUGACCGGCUGACCCAACUCAGGCUAUUUCCUUGAAUGAGCUCAUUCCUGGGUAUUACCUAACUCAAGCUAUUGCCCUGACAGGCUGACCAAUUCAGGCCCCAACCUUUCUAAGAAAGAAACGCGGGACCCCAAAUUUUUUAGGCUCAAUUAGCGUGAUAGGAACAUUGUGUUCAAGGCACACUUGCAUCCUAUAUAAUUAGGAUUAAAAAACUUUUAUAAUUGCAUUAGUUAAAUAUUAUUUAAAAGAUUAAUCAGAUGAAUCAAAAUUUGAAUAUUAAUUAUUUAACUGGUUAAUCGAAUUAGAUUGUUUAAUUCGAUUACUAAUUGAAUUAACUAAAUUUUUUGGACUCAAGUCCAUUUUUUUAUAUAUAUAUUCUUUCUAUACCAGUUACAAAAUAAAUACAGUUACAUUAUGAAAUUUUAACAACACCCUAAACCAUAUAAUAUUAAAAUAUGCUAACAAACAUGAUUAAAAAUAUUAAAAUGUUUUAACAAGUAUGAAAAAAAGUUAUCCAUCCAGAUUCAAUUAUCCAACGCGCCAAAACAAGCCUAAUUGUUAGUUUUCGAACUCAUUGGUUUUUUCUGUUUUGCACAUUUCUAAGAUUUGGGCUGAUGAAUCCAGCACAAGACGUGACAAAUAAAUAUGCUUGGAUUGCUUUUUAGCCACGGUUUGCUACUAGUGGAAGGUGAUAGUUCACAUGUUUUUAAGCUUUUCCUAUAGCCCACAGUUACCAUACGACUUCGUGUCUCCCAUUCAUUUCAUGUCAAACAGGACCACCAUGGCAGUUGGCAACUAGUACUAAAUGUUUCCAUAUUUCUAGUACUUUUUUUGUCUCUUUGCUUAAUAAUUGAAAUAUCCUUAGCGCGUUCACAUGUACAGGGAAAUUAGGGGAGAGCGGAAAAUAAAUCUGACUUCAUGUCCGCUUCAUGCAUUAACCUUUCCAGAAGAUUUAAUUUUCCAUUCAUUAUAGUAGAAGUUUUGGCGUACUCAAUUUCUUCGCCAUUACCUCAGCAUCAAUUUUCUUUUCCAGACAUCAAGUAGAUGAUGCAAAUUUGAACUUUUGUUAUACUAUUUUAAGUGCAUAAUUCUAUAGAAUUAUUAAACUGAAGGGAGAGACUCUUCAAAUCUGAUUUUUCAUUUGUAAACUAUCUUGUUUCUAGAAGAAAAAAAUUUGUCUUCAACUGAGGCAACGUUGUCGUUGGUAUUGUAAUUUAAAGUACUGGCAAAAUCCCUUCCAAACAAAUUGGAAGCAAGAUCAUUUGUUCAAAUAUGUCAUUUGAGCUAAUAUUAAUGUUAAUGAUUAAAGGAAAUGAACUGAAAUUUGAGGGCAUCUUAUCAUUUCCAAGAUCUUUUUCAUAUAUGCUUAUGUAAGAAAAUCAAAUAACAAUAACCCAAUGCAAAAUGACACCGUAAAAAAGGAUCGGGAGGUCAAAACCUGCUGAAAAGAAUCCUAUUCAGCUUCAUCGGAAUUCAUAUCAGAGUGAAAGAAUCAAGAACCAUGGAGUAACAGCCAAAAGAUCCGCUAAAAAACUACUCUUAUUUCACGGGGUUUGAGGUGCAUCUUCCUGAAAUGUGCCUUUUUAAUCAGCGACCUCCCAAAAAAGUCAGUGACUUGUCGCCAGCUUGACAGCUUGUGGUCGUGGGGUAAAAGAUUCUGAAACGCCGACGGUUCGCUGAGUCAGCAUGUGAGAGAAGAUCCAAAUUUCCAAAUGGAUAAGCCAUUGGAAGCAAUUUGUUAAACCAAUCGAGCUAACCCUGGUUAACCAAUUAUCUAUAAAUAUCCUUACCCAUCUGGCUACUUCUCCAACACAAAGUAAACACAACAACAAACAAUUAACGGUCUUUGGCACAUCAGAACAAUGGCUUCCACAUCUUCUGCAUUCGCCUGUUUCGGCUCCUCCUCUGCUCAUUUCAUGGGCCACAAAGUUUCAAUCAAGGAACCCAGUUCCGUGCCGACAAGUGUCCAAUUCCGGCCACUCCGUGUCUCCGCCGCCUGCGCAUCGGCGGCUGAGAGACCGGUUUCCCACAUUGCUUCUCCAGCGUCACUGUACGAGGUCUUGGGGAUCCAGAUGGGCACCACUUGUCAGGAAAUCAAGGCUGCUUAUCGGAGACUGGCGCGAGUCCUGCAUCCCGACGCCUCAUCUAGCGGUCAAAAUAACGCCACCGCACACGAGUUCAUCAAAGUACAUGAAGCUUACGCCACGCUUUCUGAUCCCGAGAAACGUGCCGAUUAUGAUCGGACGUUGUUGUUCAGACCGAGACGAUCCUUUGCCGUGUCAGCGUCUGCCGCAUCUAUGGCCAGCCCCACGUCUUCUGGAUUUUCUGGUUACACGCGGGGAAGCUGGGAAACUGAUCAAUGUUGGUGACACUUUGGACAAAUCACGAAGUUCAGGACUGGAUUUUUCAGUUGUGUAGAUUUCAGAGUGAUGAAUGGAAACUUCGCCCCCUGAUUUUUAUUGUUUUGGGCCUUCUGGUUUUUGGGGAAAACUGAUAACUGCUAAUACCCCGUCUGUAAAUAGAAAAAGAUUUGACCUAAAACAGGCAGCUUUUUUAUAGUCUGAGUGUAUAAAGUUUGGAUUUUCUUAUAUCAUUCAUGGAUUCAGUGUUCUGUUUCUUUAGUUUUAUGGUUUCAAUGUCAGAAAACUUAGGAUUGAAUAAUAAAUACUACCAAUCUCAAUCUGUUAGUUAAAACUGAGUUGCAUAGAUCCCACUCAGAUUAGGCUGGGGAUUUUUAUUAGGCAAAUGCAAAGUUUUCAAGACGUUGAGACCAGACAUCAAGUUGAAUAUCAGUUUCAUAGUCCGAUCGCAGACUUCAAAUGUAACUAAAAGGGGUGAUAUAUUGUUACUUCACUCAUCGUUUCAUAAUGGUUUGCAUGUGCAGGAUGGAAUUUAUGGAUAAGAGCUACGGAAUUAGGCCAAACUUAUUGCAAUUAUUGGCCUGCCAACGGGAAAAUUUCAGGAGUUGGGACAAAAAAACCAGGACGAAGAAGAAAACACAGCUCCUCUGCACUGUUUCGUGAGGGCAGAUUUAGAUAAGUCGGAAAAAGUGAUCUAAUUGGAAACUCCGAUAACAUUCACUGAUCAAUCAAACUGCUACAUAACAGGAAGGAAAUGUUUAUUCCUUUGAUUCCAAAUGACUCGUUACAAUCAUAGAGACUCGAAUGUGUAUGUUACGAUUAUUCUUUGUCCAGGAUAAAUGCAACAGCUCAGCAAAAAGCCGAAAAGGUCUUAAAAAAAUAGUAGGAUAAUACAAGUCAAUGCUUAUCUAAUUUCAUGAUCCAACGUUAACACCGCAAAAAACAUUCGACCUACACUUGCUGAUUCCUUUAUCUUCCGGAAACCUCAAAGGAUGACACUUUUUUUAUGUUGAGUUUCAUUCCUCAAAACCCAAAAAGCCGAACAAUAAGAUGGGUGAGAUUAAAAUUACUACUAAUUUCAUCUAGCAUUCAGUGUAUGUAUGAUGCCAAUGAUAGCUUUUCUGUUGUGUUGUGUAAGAGCAUUUUCAGCAAUAAUAAUAAUACAAAAA